UAAUACGUAGGAGGCGAGCGUUAUCCGGAUUUACUGGGCGUAAAGAGGGCGUAGGCGGCUUUUCAAGUCGGGUGUGAAAUCUCCCUGCUUAACGGGGAGGGGUCGUUCGAUACUGUUGGGCUAGAGUGCAGCAGGGGGAGAUGGAAUUCCCGGUGUAGUGGUGAAAUGCGUAGAUAUCGGGAGGAACACCAGUGGCGAAAGCGGCCUCCUGGGCUGUUUCUGACGCUGUAGCCCGAAAGCGUGGGAAGCAAACAGGAUUAGAUACCCUGGUAGUCCACGCUAUAAACUAUGGACACUAGGUAUAGGGAGUAUCGACCCUCUCUGUGCCGAAGCUAACGCGUUAAGUGUCCCGUCUGGGGAGUACGGUCGCAAGACUA
Molecule: ribosomal RNA, 377 nt
Filed under: uncultured bacterium
Lineage: Bacteria
Description: bacterial SSU rRNA
Rfam family: Bacterial small subunit ribosomal RNA
Source: RNAcentral